RNAcentral lists this ribosomal RNA (459 nucleotides) under uncultured bacterium. RNAcentral describes it as "partial 16S ribosomal RNA". It matches the Rfam family "Bacterial small subunit ribosomal RNA", at positions 338 to 795 of the family's 1533-position model. The record is from RNAcentral.
CCUACGGUGGGCAGCAGUGAGGAAUAUUGGUCAAUGGGCGCGAGCCUGAACCAGCCAAGUCGCGUGAGGGAAGACGGUCCUAUGGAUUGUAAACCUCUUUUGUCGGGGAGCAAAAGACGCCACGCGUGGCGUUCCGAGAGUACCCGAAGAAAAAGCAUCGGCUAACUCCGUGCCAGCAGCCGCGGUAAUACGGAGGAUGCGAGCGUUAUCCGGAUUUAUUGGGUUUAAAGGGUGAGCAGGCGGAAGAUCAGGUCAGCGGUAAAAUUGAGGGGCUCAACCUCUUCGAGCCGUUGAAACUGGUUGUCUUGAGUGAGUGAGAAGUAUGCGGAAUGCGUGGUGUAGCGGUGAAAUGCAUAGAUAUCACGCAGAACUCCGAUUGCGAAGGCAGCAUACCGGCGCCCGACUGACGCUGAGGCACGAAAGCGUGGGUAUCGAACAGGAUUAGAUACCCUGGUAGUC